RNAcentral lists this ribosomal RNA (500 nucleotides) under uncultured bacterium. RNAcentral's name for it is "partial 16S ribosomal RNA". It matches the Rfam family "Bacterial small subunit ribosomal RNA", at positions 28 to 507 of the family's 1533-position model. The record is from RNAcentral.
GACGAACGCUGGCGGCGUGCCUAAUACAUGCAAGUCGAGCGGACUGAUUAAGAGCUUGCUCUUAUGACGUUAGCAGCGGACGGGUGAGUAACACGUGGGCAACCUGCCCUGUAGAUCGGGAUAACACCGAGAAAUCGGUGCUAAUACCGGGUAAUAUCUGAGAUCACAUGAUCUUAGGUUAAAAGAUGGCUCCGGCUAUCACUACAGGAUGGGCCCGCGGCGCAUUAGCUAGUUGGUAAGGUAAUGGCUUACCAAGGCGACGAUGCGUAGCCGACCUGAGAGGGUGAUCGGCCACACUGGGACUGAGACACGGCCCAGACUCCUACGGGAGGCAGCAGUAGGGAAUCUUCCGCAAUGGACGAAAGUCUGACGGAGCAACGCCGCGUGAGUGAUGAAGGGUUUCGGCUCGUAAAGCUCUGUUGUUAGGGAAGAAACAGUACCGAACGAACUAGGUCGGUACCUUGACGGUACCUAACCAGAAAGCCACGGCUAACUACGUG